GAUCAGGUAAGGGUGAAAGGGGGCGGUAAGAGCGCAGCGCGCGGCUGGUAACAGUCCGUGGCACAGUAAACUCCACCCGGAGCAAGGCCAAAUAGGGGUUCAUGAGGUACGGCCCGUACUGAACCCGGGUAGGCUGCUUGAGGCAGUGAGCGAUUGCUGGCGUAGAUGAAUGACUGUCCACGACAGAACCCGGCUUAUCGGUCAGUUUGACGU
This 213-nucleotide RNase P RNA is filed under the name Salmonella enterica subsp. enterica serovar Typhimurium. Its description in RNAcentral is "partial RNase P RNA component class A". It matches the Rfam family "Bacterial RNase P class A", at positions 142 to 367 of the family's 367-position model. Rfam says of the family: Ribonuclease P (RNase P) is a ubiquitous endoribonuclease, found in archaea, bacteria and eukarya as well as chloroplasts and mitochondria. Its best characterised activity is the generation of mature 5'-ends of tRNAs by cleaving the 5'-leader elements of precursor-tRNAs. Cellular RNase Ps are ribonucleoproteins. The record is from RNAcentral. Lineage: Bacteria; Pseudomonadati; Pseudomonadota; Gammaproteobacteria; Enterobacterales; Enterobacteriaceae.